Molecule: ribosomal RNA, 254 nt
Filed under: uncultured bacterium
Lineage: Bacteria
Description: partial 16S ribosomal RNA
Rfam family: Bacterial small subunit ribosomal RNA
Source: RNAcentral
UACGUAGGGCGCAAGCGUUGUCCGGAAUUAUUGGGCGUAAAGAGCUCGUAGGCGGCCUGUUGCGUCCGCUGUGAAAUCCCGGGGCUUAACCCCGGGCUUGCAGUGGAUACGGGCAGGCUGGAGGCAGGCAGGGGAGAACGGAAUUCCCGGUGGUAGCGGUGAAAUGCGCAGAUAUCGGGAGGAACACCGGUGGCGAAGGCGGUUCUCUGGGCCUGUACUGACGCUGAGGAGCGAAAGCGUGGGGAGCGAACAGG